GUGGGGAAUAUUGGACAAUGGGCGAAAGCCUGAUCCAGCCAUGCCGCGUGUGUGAAGAAGGUCUUCGGAUUGUAAAGCACUUUAAGUUGGGAGGAAGGGCAGUAAGUUAAUACCUUGCUGUUUUGACGUUACCGACAGAAUAAGCACCGGCUAACUUCGUGCCAGCAGCCGCGGUAAUACGAAGGGUGCAAGCGUUAAUCGGAAUUACUGGGCGUAAAGCGCGCGUAGGUGGUUUUGUAAGUUGGAGGUGAAAUCCCCGGGCGCAACCUGGGAACUGCCUCCAAAACUGCAUGACUAGAGUACGGUAGAGGGUAGUGGAAUUUCCGGUGUAGCGGUGAAAUGCGUAGAUAUAGGAAGGAACACCAGUGGCGAAGGCGACUACCUGGACUGAUACUGACACUGAGGUGCGAAAGCGUGGGGAGCAAACAGGAUUAGAAACCCUGGUAGUCC
This 450-nucleotide ribosomal RNA is filed under the name uncultured bacterium. RNAcentral describes it as "bacterial SSU rRNA". It matches the Rfam family "Bacterial small subunit ribosomal RNA", at positions 354 to 796 of the family's 1533-position model. The record is from RNAcentral.